This 346-nucleotide unclassified non-coding RNA is filed under the name soil metagenome. Its description in RNAcentral is "partial contains 5.8S ribosomal RNA, internal transcribed spacer 2, and large subunit ribosomal RNA". The stretch from base 1 to 120 matches the Rfam family "5.8S ribosomal RNA", at positions 35 to 154 of the family's 154-position model. The record is from RNAcentral.
GAUGAAGAACGUAGCAAAAUGCGAUAAGUAAUGUGAAUUGCAGAAUUCAGUGAAUCAUCGAAUCUUUGAACGCACAUUGCGCCCGCUGGUAUUCCGGCGGGCAUGCCUGUUCGAGCGUCAUUUCAACCCUCAAACCCCCGGGUUUGGUGUUGGGGAUCGGCUCUGCCUCACGGCGGUGCCGCCCCCGAAAUACAUUGGCGGUCUCGCUGCAGCCUCCAUUGCGUAGUAGCUAACUCCUCGCAACUGGAACGCGGCGCGGCCAUGCCGUAAAACCCCAACUUCUGAAUGUUGACCUCGGAUCAGGUAGGAAUACCCGCUGAACUUAAGCAUAUCAAUAAGCGGAGGA